GUGCUCCACCCUUGAGCGGAUGACCCUCCCAGUCCUUUUUAUUAGUGGGACGGGGUCUCACUGAGUUGCCAAGGCUGGCCUCAAAAUCGCCAUCCUCCUGCCUCAGCCUCCCUACUGGCUGGGCUUGUGGGCGGGCACCACCACACCCAGCUCUUUUAACCAUUUUGAAGUGUGCAGUUUUGUGGCGUAGAGUCCAUGAGGUGUUGUGUAACCAUCUCCGCCACCCAUCUCCAGAACCUUCUCACCCUCCCCAACAGAAACUGUCCCCAUUAGACACUCCCCAUCCUCCCCCAUCCCCUGGCACCUACUUUUUUCCUCUGUGAAUUUGAGCUCUCUAGGAACCUCCUGUGAGUGGAAUCGGUCAUGGUGUGUGUCCUUUUGUGACUGGCUAAGUUCAGUGCAUAAUGUGCUAAAGGUUCAUUUAUGUCCUCAGGAUUUCUUUCCUUCUCAUGGCUGUAUAGUACUCCACCACACAGCACACCACAUUCUGUUUACCUGCUUAUUUGUUGAUGGACACCUGACUGCUUCCCGCCUCUGGCUGU
This 542-nucleotide long non-coding RNA is filed under the name Marmota monax (woodchuck). The record is from RNAcentral. Lineage: Eukaryota; Metazoa; Chordata; Mammalia; Rodentia; Sciuridae.